GACGAACGCUGGCGGCGUGCUUAACACAUGCAAGUCGAACGAAGAGCGAUGGAAGCUUGCUUCUAUCAAUCUUAGUGGCGAACGGGUGAGUAACGCGUAAUCAACCUGCCCUUCAGAGGGGGACAACAGUUGGAAACGACUGCUAAUACCGCAUACGAUCUAACCUCGGCAUCGAGGAUGGAUGAAAGGUGGCCUCUAUGUAUAAGCUAUCACUGAAGGAGGGGAUUGCGUCUGAUUAGCUAGUUGGAGGGGUAACGGCCCACCAAGGCGAUGAUCAGUAGCCAGUCUGAGAGGAUGAACGGCCACAUUGGGACUGAGACACGGCCCAGACUUCCUACGGGAGGCAGCAGUGGGGAAUCUUCCGCAAUGGACGAAAGUCUGACGGAGCAACGCCGCGUGAGUGUG
Molecule: ribosomal RNA, 405 nt
Filed under: Veillonella parvula
Lineage: Bacteria; Bacillati; Bacillota; Negativicutes; Veillonellales; Veillonellaceae
Description: bacterial SSU rRNA
Rfam family: Bacterial small subunit ribosomal RNA
Source: RNAcentral